CCUACGGGAGGCAGCAGUGGGGAAUAUUGCACAAUGGGGGAAACCCUGAUGCAGCGACGCCGCGUGAGUGAAGAAGUAAUUCGUUAUGGAAAGCUCUAUCAGCAGGGAAGAAAAUGACGGUACCUGAGUAAGAAGCUCCGGAUAACGACGUGACAGCAGCCGCGGUAAUCCGCAGGGGGCAAGCGGUAUCCGGAUGUACUGGGUGUAAAGGGAGCGUAGACGGGAGUGCAAGUCAGGAGUGAAAGGCGGGGGCUCAACCCCCGGACUGCUCUGGAAACUGUACGGCUGGAGUGAGGGAGAGGUAAGUGGAAUUCCUGGUGUAGCGGUGAAAUGCGUAGAUAUUAGGAGGAACCCCAGUGGCGAAGGCAGCUUACUGGACUGUAACUGACGUUGAGGCUCGAAAGCGUGGGGAGCAAACAGGAUUAGAUACCCGGGUAGUC
Molecule: ribosomal RNA, 440 nt
Filed under: uncultured bacterium
Lineage: Bacteria
Description: partial 16S ribosomal RNA
Rfam family: Bacterial small subunit ribosomal RNA
Source: RNAcentral